RNAcentral lists this unclassified non-coding RNA (1421 nucleotides) under uncultured Neocallimastigales. RNAcentral's name for it is "partial contains small subunit ribosomal RNA, internal transcribed spacer 1, 5.8S ribosomal RNA, internal transcribed spacer 2, and large subunit ribosomal RNA". The stretch from base 665 to 1421 matches the Rfam family "Eukaryotic large subunit ribosomal RNA", at positions 1 to 617 of the family's 3401-position model. The record is from RNAcentral. Lineage: Eukaryota; Fungi; Neocallimastigomycota; Neocallimastigomycetes; Neocallimastigales.
UUUCCGUAGGUGAACCUGCGGAAGGAUCAUUAAAAAAUAUCGCUCGAUUGAAAGUGAUUUAAUAAUCAUCCUACCCUUUGUGAAUUUGUUGUUUGUAAUAAUUUUUUUUGAUUUUAAAAAAAAAUUAUUUAUGGUUUUGUCUAUCCCUAAAAUUGGUUUGUUGUGAAAUGAAUCAAUUUAGGGAAUAGGCUUUCAUAAAUAAGUUUUUUUUUAAAGUCUUAAAGACCUUUUUUAAAAUUAAACUUUUGUAUUCAUUUGUCUAAAUAUUUUUUAAAAUAAUUUAAAAACAACUUUUGACAAUGGAUCUCUUGGUUCUCGCAACGAUGAAGAACGCAGCAAAAUGCGAUAAGUAAUGUGAAUUGCAGAAUACGUGAAUCAUCAAAUCUUCGAACGCAUAUUGCACUUUUUUAGUUUACUAAAAAAGUAUGUCUGUUUGAGUAUCAGUAAAAUAUUCUCAUAAAAACAUUUUUGUUUUUAUGGUUAUGAGUGUUUUACAACGAUAAACAAGUUGUUUCACUUUAAAUUCAUUUUAAUUUAAGACCAUUUAUGGUUUUAAUAAUUAAAAUUGGAUAAAAUUUUCCCGUAAAAAGGAAUAAACUUUUCAGUUUUUUAAUUAUUACCAACAAAACGGGUCCGAUUUAAAAGGAAAUUUAUUUAAAUAACUUGAUCUCAAAUCAGAUAAGAGUACCCGCUGAACUUAAGCAUAUCAAUAAGCGGAGGAAAAGAAACUAACAAGGAUUCCCUUAGUAACGGCGAGUGAAGCGGGAAGAGCUCAAAUUUGAAAUCUUCAAGGUUCUACCUUGACGAAUUGUAGUUUAAAGAAGUGUUUUCUGUUAGAUGAGUAGCAAAAGUUCCUUGGAAUGGGACAUCAUAGAGGGUGAGAAUCCCGUAUUUGGUUAUUCAUUCUAGCUUUGUGAUACACUUUCAAAGAGUCGGAUUGUUUGGGAAUGCAGUCCAAAAUGGGUGGUAAAUUUCAUCUAAAGCUAAAUAUUGGCGAGAGACCGAUAGCGAACAAGUACCGUGAGGGAAAGAUGAAAAGAACUUUGAAAAGAGAGUUAAACAGUACGUGAAAUUGUCAAAAGGGAAGCGUUUGACACCAGUGUUGUUUUUCCAAAAAUCAAUUACGAAUGGCUUGAUUUUGUGUUGUAUGACCUUAUCAGCUUUCUGCACUUUUUUCGAGUCUUUCUUAAUGCACUUUUUGGUUAACAAGUCAACAUCAAUUUCUUUUGUUGUAAAAGAGUAUUCGGAAGGUGGCUUUCUUUUCGGAGAAAGUGUUUAUAGCCCUAUACUUCUACAAUCGGAGAGAUUGAGGUCUGCAGCGUAGAUCCUUCGGGGUUAGAUACAUUUGUGCUAAGUUGUAGCUUUUCAUAGACAACUUGUUGACUAUGUUUAGUCAUGCGGCUUACUCGCUUAUGCUAUUU